AAGAAGAAAAGAGGAAGAUGGUGGGGUAUGGAGUUUCGGAUUCUCAUCAUUUUCUGUUUGGAUCUUCUUGGUUUUGGGGUUUCUGGUUCUGAUUGUGAAGAAGGAAAAAGCUCAAUAAA
Long non-coding RNA from Neltuma alba, 119 nucleotides. RefSeq lists it as uncharacterized. The transcript has 3 exons. The record is from RefSeq and is a predicted model, not a curated record. NCBI's taxonomy places the organism in Eukaryota, Viridiplantae, Streptophyta, Magnoliopsida, Fabales, Fabaceae.